Molecule: long non-coding RNA, 204 nt
Filed under: Carica papaya (papaya)
Lineage: Eukaryota; Viridiplantae; Streptophyta; Magnoliopsida; Brassicales; Caricaceae
Description: long non-coding RNA (CPAP_LNC012576)
Source: RNAcentral
CCGAUUCGAAUAAGAAUCUCUCACCUUACUCUCUAUUAUAGAAUUAAAGUUUAAUAAUCGAUAAUAUGGUAUUUUGUGUAAUUUAAAAAAUUUUCAGAAUAAUUACAGGUUACUAAUGGAGGUGAAACUGAUUAGUUAUUUAUUGUUUGUCAUGUUUAACUAGUGGUUUGAUUUUACAGCCUUAAAUACAUAAUAAUAUACUGG